AUAUCCGUAACUGAAUUGUAGA
This 22-nucleotide microRNA is filed under the name Gadus morhua (Atlantic cod). RNAcentral describes it as "gmo-miR-11224b-3p". Lineage: Eukaryota; Metazoa; Chordata; Actinopteri; Gadiformes; Gadidae. The record is from miRBase by way of RNAcentral.